This is a long non-coding RNA of Sitodiplosis mosellana (orange wheat blossom midge), 376 nucleotides long. RefSeq lists it as uncharacterized. The record is from RefSeq and is a predicted model, not a curated record. The transcript has 2 exons. NCBI's taxonomy places the organism in Eukaryota, Metazoa, Arthropoda, Insecta, Diptera, Cecidomyiidae.
UUUCUUUUUUUUCCCCUCUGCUCUCUGCUCAUUCGUUCGUUCUUUCAUCGCUGUGUGUCGACUGUCAAUGUGACUUGAAGAUAAUACACACAAUAGCGAGAAUCAUGGCACUGUGGAGAUAUCGUACACCAAUUACUAUCGGCCUAAGUUUAGCCUCAAUCACCACAAUUUACAGUUUUCGCAAUGAACUUUUCAACUCAAACCUAGAUGAACAGCGCAGAAAAUUGUACGGCGAUCCAGAGAAACAACAACGAACGUUCCAGGCUGCAUGCAAAGAAAUGGACGUUCCCGUUCAAAAGUUUUUCUAGCCGAUUUCGAUAUAUUCUAUUAAUUAGAUGAUUUAAGCACAAUAAACGCUCUUUUCCGUUCAAAUAAA